GCCCGGGUAGCCUAGCCAGGUAAGGCGCCUGCCUCGAGAGCAGGUGGGCUCACGCCCUCGCAGGUUCAAAUCCUGCCCCGGGCG
RNAcentral lists this transfer RNA (84 nucleotides) under Nanobdellota archaeon. RNAcentral's name for it is "Nanoarchaeota archaeon tRNA-Ser". It matches the Rfam family "tRNA". From Rfam's summary of the family: Transfer RNA (tRNA) molecules are approximately 80 nucleotides in length. Their secondary structure includes four short double-helical elements and three loops (D, anti-codon, and T loops). Lineage: Archaea; Nanobdellati; Nanobdellota. The record is from RNAcentral. RNAcentral also lists the same sequence under 1 other name.